UACGGGGGGGGCAAGCGUUGUUCGGAAUUACUGGGCGUAAAGGGCUCGUAGGCGGCCAACUAAGUCAGACGUGAAAUCCCUCGGCUUAACCGGGGAACUGCGUCUGAUACUGGAUGGCUAGAGGUUGGGAGAGGGAUGCGGAAUUCCAGGUGUAGCGGUGAAAUGCGUAGAGAUCAGCAGGAACACCCGUGGCGAAGGCGGCCCCCUGGGCCGUACCUGACGCUGAGGCGCGAAGGCUAGGGGAGCGAACGGG
Molecule: ribosomal RNA, 253 nt
Filed under: uncultured bacterium
Lineage: Bacteria
Description: partial 16S ribosomal RNA
Rfam family: Bacterial small subunit ribosomal RNA
Source: RNAcentral